CAAACUGGGAUUAGAUACCCCACUAUGCUCAGCCAUAAACCUAGACAUCCAACUACAAUUAAACGUCCGCCCGGGUACUACGAGCAUUAGCUUGAAACCCAAAGGACCUGACGGUGCCUUAGACCCCCCUAGAGGAGCCUGUUCUAGAACCGAUAACCCCCGUUAAACCUCACCACUUCUAGCCAUCCCAGCCUAUAUACCGCCGUCGUCAGCUUACCCUGUGAAGGCAAUAAAAGUAAGCAAAAUGGGCACAACCCAGAACGUCAGGUCGAGGUGUAGCGUACGAAGUGGGAAGAAAUGGGCUACAUUUUCUAUCACAGAACACUACGAACAUGCAACAUGAAAUAGUGCUUGAAGGAGGAUUUAGUAGUAAAAAGGAAGCAGAGUGUCCUUUUGAACCGGGCUCUGAGGCGCGUACACACCGCCCGUCA
RNAcentral lists this ribosomal RNA (431 nucleotides) under Ctenopharyngodon idella (grass carp). Its description in RNAcentral is "partial 12S ribosomal RNA". It matches the Rfam family "Bacterial small subunit ribosomal RNA", at positions 768 to 1399 of the family's 1533-position model. The record is from RNAcentral. Lineage: Eukaryota; Metazoa; Chordata; Actinopteri; Cypriniformes; Xenocyprididae.